GGUUUCGUGGUGAAGUUCAUGUUGGGUUGCAAAUCCAUCGAUGUGCAGAGAAUGCACCGAAACCU
This 65-nucleotide transfer RNA is filed under the name Trogon curucui. RNAcentral's name for it is "tRNA-Cys". The record is from RNAcentral. Lineage: Eukaryota; Metazoa; Chordata; Aves; Trogoniformes; Trogonidae.